GACGAACGCUGGCGGCGUGCUUAACACAUGCAAGUCGAACGGAAAGGCCCUGCUUUUGUGGGGUGCUCGAGUGGCGAACGGGUGAGUAACACGUGAGUAACCUGCCCUUGACUUUGGGAUAACUUCAGGAAACUGGGGCUAAUACCGGCUAGGAGCUCCUGCUGCAUGGUGGGGGUUGGAAAGUUUCGGCGGUUGGGGUUGGACUCGCGGCUUAUCAGCUUGUUGGUGGGGUAGUGGCUUACCAAGGCUUGGACGGGUAGCCGGCCUGAGCGGGGGAGCGGCCAAAUCGGACCGGAGAUACGGCCCAGACUCCUACGGGAGGCAGCGGUGGGGAAGGUUGCACAAUGGGCGGAAGCCUGAUGCAGCAACGCAGCGUGCGGGAUGACGUCCUUCGGGUUGUAAACCGCUUUCGCCUGUGACGAAGCGUGAGUGACGGUAAUGGGUAAAGAAGCACCGGCUAACUACGUG
This 468-nucleotide ribosomal RNA is filed under the name uncultured bacterium. RNAcentral's name for it is "partial 16S ribosomal RNA". It matches the Rfam family "Bacterial small subunit ribosomal RNA", at positions 28 to 507 of the family's 1533-position model. The record is from RNAcentral.